UCAAGAAAAAGCCAACCCAACCUUGAGGGUGGGGCGGAAAGCCAUAGGGUUCAUGAACAGCCGGCUGCCUUG
This 72-nucleotide non-coding RNA is filed under the name Deltaproteobacteria bacterium. RNAcentral describes it as "c-di-GMP sequence". It matches the Rfam family "c-di-GMP-I riboswitch aptamer". Rfam says of the family: GEMM was predicted in a large-scale screen for bacterial structured RNA regulatory elements. Genes associated with GEMM are involved in a diverse array of functions, including chemotaxis regulation, signal transduction, secretion and chitin. Lineage: Bacteria; Pseudomonadati; Myxococcota; Myxococcia. The record is from RNAcentral.